This is a long non-coding RNA of Neofelis nebulosa (Clouded leopard), 7737 nucleotides long. RefSeq lists it as uncharacterized. The transcript has 6 exons. Lineage: Eukaryota; Metazoa; Chordata; Mammalia; Carnivora; Felidae. The record is from RefSeq and is a predicted model, not a curated record.
CCUGCCUCAUGCUCCCUUAUCAAUUAUGAUGGCUUUUGUAAAAAAAAAAAAAAAAAAAGAAAAAAGAAAAAAAGAAAAGAAAAGAAAAGAAAGAAAAAGAAAAAAGGAAAGUUUUAGUUUUUAUAUAUAUUUUUGCUUUUUACACAUUUGGUGGUUUUCUCUCUGUAGUUUCAGUCACCUGUGGUCAAUCAUGGUCCAGAAACAGAUGAUCCUCUUUCUGGUGAAUGGUGAGAAAGUCUGUAAUAGCCUAACAUUACAUCACAGCGUCUGCAUUUUUCACCUCCUUUCAUUUUAUCAUCUCACAUCAUCACGAGAAGGAUGAGGUACGGCGUAAUAUGAGAUAUUGAGAGAGAGAGACCACAUUCACAUAACUUUUAUUGCAGUAUGUUGUUAUAAUUAUUCUAUUUUAUUACUAGGCGGUGGUGUUCAUCUCUUACUGGCCUAAUUUAUAAAUUAUCCAAGUUAUUAUCCUCAUCGUGCAGAGGGGGAGCCAAGCCCUUAGAGAAUCUUGGUCAAAGCCAAAUAAUGGAAACAUGUGGAUUAAGAAUCAAGCCUAUCUCUACGAACUCUAAGGUCUGUGGAUCCAUUGUUGAUUCGUUUUAUUUUGGACCAAAGAACUCGAUUGGCCGUUCUAGGCAAGAGCUGCAGUUUUCUCUGCUCAAGGACAAGUAGGUCCUUCUCAGGAUAAGUCUGCCUUCGGAAGAAGAUCUCUGUCUGGGAAGAUUGUGCCCACCGGCAGCACGGGCUUCCGUUCGGAGACAGCGUGUGAGCAAGGGAAGAGCAGAGAGAGGGGGAGACACAGAAUUCAAAGCAGGCUCCAGACCCUGGGCUGUCAGCGCAGAGCCUGACACGGGCCUGGAACUCACGAACCGCGAGAUCAUGACCUGAACCGAAGUCGGACACUCAGCCGAAUGAGCCACCCGGGCGCCCCUCAAAUGUGAUUUUUUUUUUUUUAAAAGAAAACUCCCUGGUCUUCCAUUCGCUUGCGUGGGACACCUCCUUGUCGAGUGACAUGUGAAAGUACCAGGAGCUGGAAGGCUCAUUUUUUUUUUUUUUUUUUUUUUUUUAAGACGGGAAACGUCGUCUUCUAGCAAUAGGUAUGUCCCAGUGCGGACGGGGAUGCCGUAACAAUGAGAGCUCCUGUAUUCCUAAUUUCAAGGAUUAUUAAAAUUCCUGGCUGCAGCAAGGGAGACCAGAAAAUCAGCAACGCCGCAGCUGCAGGAGGCCGUAAGCUCCUUGAAGGCCGGGCCAUGUCUGUUCUGUCUCGAUCUCCCACAAGCAAAAUGCACACAGUGCUUGAAUCCUCAAUACAAGAAUUAGAAAGAACAUGAUUUGGGGGCCACAGUCUUGAGCGUUCCAAUCUGAGCAACCUCAUGGACAUCUUUUCUCUGAUGACGAUGUCGGGAUCCACACAAAACACCACUGGCUAUUAGCUUCACUGACUUUUCCUGGCCUGCAAACCAAGUUCACUGGUUCAUUGGACGCUUUGCCGCAUGCUGGUCUCUUCAUUAUGUUUUUCCUCUGAUUUGGCUACGAUUUAGGAAAGGGCCGCACCUCAGAUGUUCGUUUUGCAAAUAAGGUGGCUGAAGGAAAAAAAAAAGUGAUGUUAAGUCUCACAUUUCGGAGAUACUUGGGCCUCUUCUUCACUCUGAGAUAGAAAUGUAUCUUCCAAUUUGCUCGGCCUUCUAAGCUCCUACAAAAUUAAAUGUGAACGUUUCCAUGAAAAGGAGGUGAUUUUUUUUUUUUUUUUUGCUAGCUUUGUGUUCCUCUUUGUUAAUCUGCUCAUGUGGCCAAAAAUUACACAGAAAAUUAUUGCGAGAGCUACAGCUCUUGGAGCAUUUUUGUCCCAGGGAAUGGAUUCCCUUUUCUUCCUUAUUACGAAGAGUAUUGAGUGUGUGUGUGUGUGUGUGUGUGUGUGUGUGUGUGUGAGUGUGUGCGUGUCUGUAGAUGCAUUUUGAAGCAAAAACUAAAUCAUAGGAGCCAUCCCACAAAGGCCAUCCUGCCACCGCCCACAGUUCAUUGGCCCAUCUCUCUCUCCUCCCCCCACCCCACCUCAUCUCCACCUCCCAACCCUGCAAGUAACUGGCAGUGCUCUCCUCCUCCUCCCUGGGCCUCUGUUAUCCCAGCGGCCGCCGCAAACUCAUUCCUCACUUCCACCAAACUGAUUUCUGUUUGCGGAGCAGCUGGCGGGAGCUUUCCGAGGCCAGGAGCUGCCUGAGAAGCAAGCCUGCUUCCUUCCACGGUCAGGGGGCUUUUUAGAAAUAACACCCUCCUCGGAGGAAGUCAGAACAGCAACAGGAAAAUAAGUAAAACCUAUUAUAAAACAGUUGUCCCAGAACUUGGGCACGGCGCUGGGUGGAGAUCGAUACACUUGUGAAGGUUAAAUCUAUUUUCACACUGUGUUCUAUUUCACAGUUUAAUGGUGUUUUAAUGUGUCUGUCACCGAGCCCCUUCAUGUUAUGCAGGUAGGGCCUUUACAAAGGAGAAAGAACCCGGCUUUUCAAGCUUCGCUGUAACAUCUUAUUUACCAGCUGCGAUCUGACAUUUUCUUUUCCCUUCCAGAGCGACGGCGGGUCUGGCUCUCCCUCUCAACCCCUCUGGCUCUCCUUCCAAUCCUCAUUUGUACUCCUAAUUUUGCGAGGAGGCAAAGUUGAGACCCUGAGAGAGAUUCUUAGGUAUCUCUCUGAAAAGCACUCCAGCAUAGUUAGCCGUAUUUAAGAAGAAGGUAACUAAGACCUUUCUGAUUCGUCCUCCCCGUGUCCUCAGUUGGCCUCCUACAUUGUGUGGGGGAUCCCAGCUGGUUCUGGCCAAACUCACUGCCCUCCCUCUCCUGCUGGCGUUUCCUGCUCAGCCCCCAACUUUGUCUCUCUCUCUCUCCACCUUACACGUCAGCGAGCACGUGGUCAGGGGUCUCGCUUUGCUUCCCCACCCUCAUGAGAGAAAUCCUGACUAUCCUUGCCUCCGAAGAGAUCUUUCCUUCUACCUUGACACAAGUCAGCCAUGGGAACUGUGUUAGUUUUUCCCAGGGCUGUUGUAACUUGGUGCCGUAAAGGUAACAGAAAUGUGUCCCCUCGCAGAUGUGGAGGCUGGAAGUCUGAAACCGAGAGCAGGCAGGGCCAUGGUCUCUCUGAAGGCUCUACAGGAGCCUUUCAAUUAACUUCUAGUGUUACGGGAAAUCCUUGGCUUUCCUUGGUUUGUGAACACCUCCCUCCCACCUCUGUCUUUCUCAUUAUAUAGUGUUCUCCCAAUGCAUUCUCUUCUUAUGAGGAUACCACUCAUAUUGUGUGAAGGGCCAGCCUAUUCUACCAUGACCCCGUCUUAACUAAUUGCAUCUGCGAUGGUCUUAUUUCCAAAACAUGGUCACAGGCUGAGGUCCUAGGAAGGAUGUGAACUUGGGGAAAUGCUAUAUGUGACGGUUAAUUUUAUGCGUCAACUUGACUGGGCCACGGUGCCCACCUUUCUGGUCAAAUAGUGUUCUGAAUGUUCCUGCGAGAGUGUUUUUGAUGAGAUUACCAGUUAAAUCUGUGGACUUUGAGUAAAACAGAUUGCCAUCCAUAAUGUGGGUAGGCCACACAAUCAGUUGAAGGCCCAAAUGGAACAAAGGCCUGCUCUCCUCCAGGCAAGAGCAAAUCCUGCUAGCUGACUGACUUCAGACUUAAACUGCACGAUUAGCUCUUCCUGAGUCUCCAGCCUUCAAAUCACCCUGCAGAUUUGGGACUUGACAACCUCCAUAACUGCAUGAGCCAACUCCUUAAAUCUUUUUCCCUAUUUACACACACACACAUACACACACACACACACACACACACACACACUGGCACACUGGUUCUGUUUCUCUGGAGAACCCUGGCUAAUAUAUUAUCUAACCCAGUACAGCCCUGUAGAUAAAGUAUACAGAAAGUGUCCUGUGGGAAAACACAUAUUAUUUAAUUAUGCUCGAUAAGGAAGAGACAGAAUUUAGGCACUCAGAUUUCUGGGUUAGAGUAAUGGAACCAGCAUGACAUCUCCCUGUUUGUCAUGAAUUCCAAAUGGCUGGGUUUUCAGUGGAAUUCAAAUUAUAGGGAGGGGAGGGCACCUUGACUAGGUAUAGCUUAUAGCAGAAAUUUCCAAAGGAUGGUCCUUGGGGAUAUCUGAGACUGUUGCAGAGGAUCCACAGAAUUAAAACUAUUGUCAUAAUGAUAGUUUUUUUUUGCUUAUUUUAAUUGAAAUUGACCUUUAAAUUUUUUUUUUUUUUAAUAUUUAUUUACUUGUGAGAGAGAGAGACAGAACAUGAGCAGGGGAGCGGCAGAGAGAGGGAGACACAGAUCUAAAGCAAGCUCCAGGCUCUGAGGUGUCAGCAUAGAACCCGAUGCAGGACUUGAACUCUCGAACUGCAAGAUCAUGACCUGAGCCGAAGUUGGACGCUUAACCAACUGAGCCACCUAGGUGCCCCUUGAAUUGACCUUUAAACUGAUGAAACCGAUGUGUAAUGUGUCUGAGCAUGAGUCAAUGUAUUCCCCUCUGCCCCCAGGCAUUGUUUCUUUACUAAAGUGGACUUUCAAGGCAAUAAAAGCCAGUUUUAUUUGAGAAUGCCAUUAGGAGAGCAAUGAAAAUUAAUAAUUGCGUUAAUUCUGACAUUUUUUGUUGUGGCAAAAUCAGAAGUUCACCCGAAGCAGUUUUGUGUCUUAUCAGGUAUGAUGGUUACCUGGAGGAAAAGGCCUUGUGUGAUUGAGUUGCUAGCUGAACUAGCCACUUUUUUUUCAUGGAACAGUAUUUUUACUUGACAGAACAAUUAACAAAGUGUACUUACUCAGACUUAGGCACUUGGCAAACAUUUUCUUGGAAGUGAAUGACGUGAGUCUGUCACUUAAAGGUAAAUGAGAGUAUUUGUUACAAAUGAUGAAAGACAGACUUUCAAAAGAAAAUUAGAAUUUUAGGGGUGCCUGGGUGGCUCAGUCAGUUAAGCCUUCAGUUCAGUCCAUGAUCUUUCAGUCUGUGAGUUCGAGCCCCACGUCAGGCUCUGUGCUGACAGCUCAGAACCUGGAGCCUGCUUCCCAUUCUGUGUCUCCCUCUCUCUCUGCCCCUCCCCUGCUCACACUAUGUCUCCCUCUUCCUCUCUCAAAAAUAAACAAACAUUUAAAAACAUUAAAAAAAAAGAAAAUUAGAAUUUUAGAGAACUUGUGUCUGCCAUUAUGAGCUUAACAGCUCUCUUAUGAGGCUCACAGUGAUGUUGAUUGUUGAUGAACAUGAUUAUUACUGUAUCACGAAACAUAUCAAGAUUUAGAAUGUUUGCCUAACACAGUGAACUAUUGUUUUCCAAAUGACAAAGGCAGGAUAUUACAAAAAUCACAUGUGAGUAAUAGAUCCAUUCAAACAAAAAGACGAACUAAUGUAUGUUAAUGUUCAUUCAUGUAAUUUCAGAUUCCACAUUGCAACUCACCUUUAAAAAUUAUUACUUGUCAAGUUUUGGUGUAAUAUGAUAAAAGAAUACCUAUAAUUAUCAAACAGGCUAUUACAAUACUCUUUCCUUUUCUAACCAGACAGAUGGUAAGACCAAACAUUCAUCAUAUUCUUGAACCAAAACAAUAUAUUGUAAUAGGCUGAAUACAGAUGGAGGUGGAAGCCCCAGUUGUCUUCUAUUAAACCAGACAUUAAAGAGUUUAGCAAAAAAUGUAAAACAGUGCUGCACUCCUCACUAAUUAUUUGAAAAUACAAACAUGCUAUUUAUUUUAACAUGUAGUAGAUUUGUUAUUAUUUUAGAUGGAGACAUAACUACUCAUAAAAAUUCCCAAUUUUAAUUUCCAAUACAGCAAAUAUUGAUAUAACCCAUAUAAACAAAAGCUCUUUGGAAUCCCCCCCCCCAAUUUUAGGGUGCCUGGGUGGCUCAGUUGGUUAAGAGUCCAACUCGUGACUUCAGCUCAUGUCAUGAUCUCAUGGUUCAUGGGUUCCAGCCACACCAGGGCUCCAUGCUAAUAGUGCAGAGCUUGCUUGGGAUUGGUAAGGCCUUUCAAAUAAUUGAAUCAGGCCCACCAAGAUUAUCUAUUACAGCUCGAAGACAGAUUUUCUAGGAUUAUCUCCUUUGCUUCAAGUGAACAGAUUAUGGGAUUUAAUGACAUUGACAAAAUAAUUUCAUUGCAACACAGAUUUUAGUGUAAACAAAUAAAUGAAAGCUAUUGUCUAAUCAAAUUGACACAUAGAAAAAGACCAUCACAGUCCACCCCUUAUCAACCUGGCAUCCAUACACAUCUCUUUAAACCAUACUUAAAAUCCAAGCAUUCAUUCCUGAAGGGUUUGAGCUAUUUGCAAUCCUACCUCACUGGGUUGUGGUAGUUUUCCACUGACUUCAAUCAUAGACUGUGGUAGUAAUAAGAGAUAACCCUAAGGGAUCUCCCUUAUUCCAGACAUAUUCUUACAUUCAUUUUGUAACUCAUUUACACUUUUAAUCAGGAACAAUCCUGCCAGCCAGUACAGUAGCCUCCUUAUUUGUCUAUUGAUCGAGACCCUUGAAUUGCCCAGUGGUUGGGUGACAUCUUGAUUAUACUGGACUGCUUAUAUCAUAGAUGGAACAGCACUAUGUUCUUAUUGGCAAUAGAUAAUUAACUCUACACAUAGAUCUGUCUUUCCUGUGUGCCUUACUCUUGCCAAACUACCAUCUGUGGCCUUACAGAAUACGUAUUGUCCUUUGUUUUACUUGGGAUCCUUACUCUUGGGAUUAAGACCCAAGCAAUGGUCACUCACUGAGACAGCAAAGACUCGGAGAGGAAUACUUCGCAAUCAGUUGUUGGACAAAUGAGUUGCAUGUUACUCGGAUAGGUCAAAAGAUGUGCAGAUAAUCAAUAUACAGAAUGUUUGAAUCAUGGGACUAGAUGACAGAGAGAGAGAGAGAAAAGUAAUAGAGAGCUCCACCCACCCCCUCCCCCACAACCCUUGAAGGGAGAUAUAUAACAGAGAGAAAAGAAACAACCAGAAAGAUUAAGAAGUAGUUACCACUGACCUGAGGGGCUAAAAAUAUGUAUCUUUCUGAAGACUAACUCACUUUAAGUAUUUUGAAUUUUGUAGUGUUUCACAAAGAGAAUCAUGCCUUCUGCUGGUCUGCCAUGCAGACAAAUGUGGGAAUCAUGGUAGAAAAUUUUGUGCUACAAACCAAAGAUUUAUUGAUCUCUGCUACAAAGAAAUGAAAGAGUAAUGAGGGCUUAGGAUAACUCAUUCAUUCAUUCAUUCAUUCAUUCAAUAAGAGGUUUUUCAGAAAAUAAUACAUAAGUGACAUUAAUUUAGGCAUGACGAAUACAAAAUUUAAUAAAAUUUGCUUCCUCGCUAAAGGUAAUUAAGAAACGUUUUGGUGGAAAUAUAAGACCUGACUCAGCAUUUUUUUUCGAUGGGGAUCCAGGAGAAGACUGAGAAAUCUCAGAUUUGGAUUUAAACAUCUCAUCACAGGGUUUAACAAUGCUCAGUGAAUAUGAAUUUGGGAGAAUUAAGGGAAAAAAUGACCAGCUCAGUUAACUCCUGGGAUAUUUCGAAACAUUUCACUUCUCCUAGAAUUGAGACACUUUUUUUUUUUAUCACCAUUUUGCACUUUCCCAGUGAGGGUAUGAACCAGCUGCCUAUUGAGCAAAAAUAUUACCAUCCAAUUAAUAUUUUGGAAGCAAUGACAGACUAUCUUAACCUCCUGGCUCAGCAGUCUGUUCUGAGAGUCUGAUCAUACAGGAAGUGAGAUAAACGUGGGGCCAGUCAGUUCAUCAGGCCCUCACCACAAAGAGC